GAUGAACGCUGGCGGCGUGCCUAAUACAUGCAAGUCGAGCGAACGGACGAGAAGCUUGCUUCUCUGAUGUUAGCGGCGGACGGGUGAGUAACACGUGGAUAACCUACCUAUAAGACUGGGAUAACUUCGGGAAACCGGAGCUAAUACCGGAUAAUAUUUUGAACCGCAUGGUUCAAAAGUGAAAGACGGUCUUGCUGUCACUUAUAGAUGGAUCCGCGCUGCAUUAGCUAGUUGGUAAGGUAACGGCUUACCAAGGCAACGAUGCAUAGCCGACCUGAGAGGGGGAUCGGCCACACUGGAACUGAGACACGGUCCAGACUCCUACGGGAGGAAGCAGUAGGGAACCUUCCGCAAUGGGCGAAAGCCUGACGGAGCAACGCCGAGUGAGUGAUGAAGGUAUUCGGAUCGUAAAACUCUGUUAUUAGGGAAGAACAUAUGUGUAAGUAACUGUGCACAUCUUGACGGUACCUAAUCAGAAAGCCACGGCUAACUACGUG
This 497-nucleotide ribosomal RNA is filed under the name uncultured bacterium. RNAcentral describes it as "partial 16S ribosomal RNA". It matches the Rfam family "Bacterial small subunit ribosomal RNA", at positions 28 to 507 of the family's 1533-position model. The record is from RNAcentral.